Molecule: transfer RNA, 60 nt
Filed under: Scymninae sp. 4 ACP-2013
Lineage: Eukaryota; Metazoa; Arthropoda; Insecta; Coleoptera; Coccinellidae
Description: tRNA-Tyr
Source: RNAcentral
GAUGAAGUGGCUGAUAAAGGCGAUAAAUUGUAAAUUUAUUUAUGAAUUUUUAAAAUUCCU